This 74-nucleotide transfer RNA is filed under the name Canis lupus familiaris (dog). It matches the Rfam family "tRNA". Rfam says of the family: Transfer RNA (tRNA) molecules are approximately 80 nucleotides in length. Their secondary structure includes four short double-helical elements and three loops (D, anti-codon, and T loops). Further hydrogen bonds mediate the characteristic L-shaped molecular structure. tRNAs have two regions of fundamental functional importance: the anti-codon, which is responsible for specific mRNA codon recognition, and the 3' end, to which the tRNAs corresponding amino acid is attached (by aminoacyl-tRNA synthetases). tRNAs cope with the degeneracy of the genetic code in two manners: having more than one tRNA (with a specific anti-codon) for a particular amino acid; and 'wobble' base-pairing, i.e. permitting non-standard base-pairing at the 3rd anti-codon position. RNAcentral also lists the same sequence under 1 other name. Lineage: Eukaryota; Metazoa; Chordata; Mammalia; Carnivora; Canidae. The record is from Rfam by way of RNAcentral.
ACCUGGCUGGCUUUGUCCGUAGAGCAUGUGACUCUUGAUCAGGGGGGUAGUGAGUUCAAACCCCACGCUGGGUG